This 319-nucleotide unclassified non-coding RNA is filed under the name Burkholderia sp. NFPP32. RNAcentral describes it as "Long range pseudoknot". Lineage: Bacteria; Pseudomonadati; Pseudomonadota; Betaproteobacteria; Burkholderiales; Burkholderiaceae. RNAcentral also lists the same sequence under 1 other name. The record is from RNAcentral.
ACCGAUGACGGGGAUUACAACGUCAAGCUUCGCAAUCUCGUGCGCUUCCUCGAAGAGGGCGACAAGACGAAGAUCACGUUGCGUUUCCGCGGUCGCGAAAUGGCUCACCAGGAAAUCGGUAUGCGGAUGCUUGAGCGUCUGCGCACGGAUCUCGAGGAAGUCGGCCAGGUCGAGCAGAUGCCGAAGAUGGAAGGGCGCCAGAUGAUCAUGGUGCUCUCGCCGAAGAAAAAGAAGUAACGGGCUCGCGCGCUUCGCGCGCAGGUUCGGAAGUGGUUCGGCGCGUUGCCCGGUCAGGGCGGCGCGCCAACAAUGACGGCGG